RNAcentral lists this ribosomal RNA (869 nucleotides) under uncultured bacterium. RNAcentral's name for it is "bacterial SSU rRNA". It matches the Rfam family "Bacterial small subunit ribosomal RNA", at positions 1 to 919 of the family's 1533-position model. The record is from RNAcentral.
GCUUAGAGUUUGAUCCUGGCUCAGAACGAACGCUGGCGGCAGGCCUAACACAUGCAAGUCGAGCGCUCUCUUCGGAGGGAGCGGCAGACGGGUGAGUAACGCGUGGGAACCUGCCCAGGGGUACGGAAUAACUCAGGGAAACUUGAGCUAAUACCGUAUACGUCCUGUGGGAGAAAGAUUUAUCGCCCUUGGAUGGGCCCGCGUUGGAUUAGCUUGUUGGUGGGGUAAUGGCCUACCAAGGCGACGAUCCAUAGCUGUUCUGAGAGGAAGAUCAGCCACACUGGGACUGAGACACGGCCCAGACUCCUACGGGAGGCAGCAGUGGGGAAUCUUGGACAAUGGGCGCAAGCCUGAUCCAGCCAUGCCGCGUGAGUGAUGAAGGCCCUAGGGUUGUAAAGCUCUUUCACCGGUGACGAUAAUGACGGUAGCCGGAGAAGAAGCCCCGGCUAACUUCGUGCCAGCAGCCGCGGUAAUACGAAGGGGGCUAGCGUUGUUCGGAAUUACUGGGCGUAAAGCGCACGUAGGCGGAUGAUUAAGUCAGGGGUGAAAGCCCGGAGCUCAACUCCGGAACUGCCCUUGAUACUGGUCAUCUUGAGACCGGGAGAGGAGAGUGGAAUUCCCAGUGUAGAGGUGAAAUUCGUAGAUAUUGGGAAGAACACCCGUGGCGAAGGCGGCUCUCUGGCCCGGUUCUGACGCUGAGGUGCGAAAGUGUGGGGAGCAAACAGGAUUAGAUACCCUGGUAGUCCACACCGUAAACGAUGAAUGCUAGUUGUUGGGGAUCCUAGAUCUUCAGUGACGCCGCUAACGCAUUAAGCAUUCCGCCUGGGGAGUACGGCCGCAAAGGUUAAACUCAAAGGAAUUGACGGGGG